This 531-nucleotide long non-coding RNA is filed under the name Homo sapiens (human). RNAcentral's name for it is "non-protein coding lnc-SAP30-23:2". The record is from RNAcentral. Lineage: Eukaryota; Metazoa; Chordata; Mammalia; Primates; Hominidae.
UUUGGGUCAGAUGGUCAACAACUGCACAUAUUUCUUUUUUCUUCUUUGACUUAAGUGAAGGGAGUAACAAGAGAGUUUUCUCUGCAGGAGAAAGAGUUGGGGGUGGGGUGGGGAGUCAACAAAUAUGUCCCACCACCUGUUUCUAUAAAGUUUUAUUGGAACAUAUCCAUGCCCAUUUCGUAACUUGUUGACUGUGCAUACAGCCUAUGCUCACUUUCAUGCUAAAACAGCUGAAUUGAGUAGUUGCAACAGAGAUAUGACUUUCAAAGCCUAACAUAAUUGCUGCCUGGUCCUGUAUAAAAACAAUUGUGGAUCCCUGACAUUUGACUAUAACCAAUACUAGUUGGGAAGGCCAGUGGAAAGGCAUGUGGCCACAUGGAGGAGGCUAAAAUAAAAGUGUUUGAUAAAUAAUCCAGAGGAUGGCUACUUAGUUCUUAAUUAAUUUGUAGUUACAUAUUUUCUCGAUUUGUACAAUUGCUGAGAUCUGUUACAUUAUUUGUAAAUAAAACUAUCCUCGUUGACAUAUUAUAA